Molecule: non-coding RNA, 699 nt
Organism: Paramuricea clavata
Lineage: Eukaryota; Metazoa; Cnidaria; Anthozoa; Malacalcyonacea; Plexauridae
Source: the annotation of a GenBank genome assembly
UGAAGCCAAAUCUCAUUCACGUCUGAUGAAAAUUGGCAUGCUAAAUAUCAAAUCAUGUGUUACUUGUUAAUAAAUAAAUUUUUAGCAAAAUUAAGAAUUUCUACUGGUGACGUACCAGUGCGAAUAUGCCGUUUACAAGACGGUGCGAGGUUGAAACACCAUAUUGUAUCUGUUUUUCCUUGUUAUUACUCCAUACGUGCCAUAAUUCUGGUAGUUGCAUUCAAAUGAAUGAUGAACUCCAACGCACCUACAACCGGAAAUUUGAAGGCAAACUUGAAGACCAGUCCCAGUUCUUCACGCAUGCGAAGAGCCCUCAAUCUGUCAAUCAUGACGUAAACACGCGUGUCUGUAGGUCAAAUUUGGCUUCAAGAAAAAAAUAGACAGCUUGUCUGAAGGUAGCGUUCCAGUCCGUAUUCAUUUCAAUGGGUAGUUGUAGUGUAAUGACGUCAUCAUGCAAGGGCGUCGUCAUGCAGUUGCUGAAAUAUAGUUUUUGUAUAUUUCACCAUGGUACACAGAUGAAGUGCUCACAUGCAUACACACAGUAUUUCAUUAUCCAAUAUAAGUACUUGCAAUUUGGUCUGAUAUGUUUUAUAAAUAUGAGAUGGGUGGCAAAAAGGUUGGAACAAUGAGUCCUAAAUAUUACUUCCUAAUAUUACAAUUCUUGCCAACCUUUCUUUGUUAACUUGUGGGAUAUUUGGG